This 263-nucleotide unclassified non-coding RNA is filed under the name Inocybe sp. RNAcentral's name for it is "partial contains 5.8S ribosomal RNA, internal transcribed spacer 2, and large subunit ribosomal RNA". The stretch from base 1 to 52 matches the Rfam family "5.8S ribosomal RNA", at positions 103 to 154 of the family's 154-position model. Lineage: Eukaryota; Fungi; Basidiomycota; Agaricomycetes; Agaricales; Inocybaceae. The record is from RNAcentral. RNAcentral also lists the same sequence under 2 other names.
AACGCAUCUUGCGCUUCUUGGUAUUCCAAGGAGCAUGCCUGUUUGAGUGUCAUUAAAGUUCUCAAAACCCACAUGGUGGAAUUUUGGAUAAUGGGGGCUGCAGGCUUCUAGAAGUCGGCUCUCCUGAAAUGUAUCAGUGGUAUCUGUGGAGUCCUACUGGCGUGAUAAAUAAAAUCUAUGCCUUGUCUCUCAUUGUGCUGCUUCUGACGAGUUGGAUUGACAAAUUUGACCUCAAAUCAGGUAGGACUACCCGCUGAACUUAA